Molecule: ribosomal RNA, 650 nt
Filed under: Pomacea haustrum
Lineage: Eukaryota; Metazoa; Mollusca; Gastropoda; Architaenioglossa; Ampullariidae
Description: partial large subunit ribosomal RNA
Rfam family: Bacterial large subunit ribosomal RNA
Source: RNAcentral
GGCUCUUUGAUUAUUAAGUAUAAAGAGUUUGGCCUGCCCAGUGAGAUUUUAACGGCCGCGGUACUCUGACCGUGCAAAGGUAGCAUAAUCAUUUGCCUUAUAAUUGAAGGCUAGUAUGAAAGGUUUAACGAAAGUUAGGCUGUCUUUUUUUGAAUAAAAUGAAAUUAAUCUGUAGGUGCAAAGGCCUAUAUUUAACUAAAAGACAAGAAGACCCUAUUGAGCUUUGUAAAGAUAUAGUAGAAUAAAACAUAUAAGCAAAAUUUUAAUCUACUUAAAUUUUUAGUUGGGGCGACUUAGGAAUAAAAAUAACUUCCUAGCAUUAAGAAUAUUUAUAGCUUUUUUAUCCUAAAAAUUUGGAUUGUCAGAAUUAGUUACCAUAGGGAUAACAGCAUAAUCUUUCUUAGGAGUUCUAAUCGAAAGAAAGGAUUGUGACCUCGAUGUUGGACUAGAAUAUCCUAAAGGUGCAGAAGUUUUUAAGGGUUAGUCUGUUCGACUAUUAAAAUUCUACAUGAUCUGAGUUCAGACCGGCGUAAGCCAGGUCAGUUUCUAUCUUUAGUUUUAAAAAUAGCCUCAGUACGAAAGGAUCAGGCUAAAGAAGUAAUAACUUUUCCUUAUGAUAUUUAUAAUGAAAAUUUUAAUAAUUAUAUGUA